AUUGAACGCUGGCGGCAUGCUUUACACAUGCAGGUCGAACGGUAACAGGGUGCUUGCACCGCUGACGAGUGGCGAACGGGUGAGUAAUGCGUCGGAACGUGCCGAGUAGUGGGGGACAACGCAGCGAAAGUUGUGCUAAUACCGCAUACGUACUGAGGUAGAAAGUGGGGGACCUUCGGGCCUCACGCUAUUCGAGCGGCCGACGUCUGAUUAGCUAGUAGGUGAGGUAAAGGCUCACCUAGGCGACGAUCAGUAGCGGGUCGGAGAGGAUGAUCCGGCACACUGGGACUGGGACACGGCCCAGACUCCGACGGGAGGCAGCAGUGGGGGAUUGUGGACAAUGGGCGAAAGCCUGAUCCAGCCAUGCCGCGUGUCUGAAGAAGGCCUUCGGGUUGUAAAGGACUUUUGUCAGGGAGGAAAUCCCUAGUGCUAAUAACACUGGGGGAUGACAGUACCUGAAGAAUAAGCACCGGCUAACUACGUGCCAGCCGCCGCAGUAA
RNAcentral lists this ribosomal RNA (500 nucleotides) under uncultured bacterium. RNAcentral describes it as "partial 16S ribosomal RNA". It matches the Rfam family "Bacterial small subunit ribosomal RNA", at positions 29 to 523 of the family's 1533-position model. The record is from RNAcentral.